GAUGAACGCUGGCGGCGUGCCUAAUACAUGCAAGUCGAGCGAACGGACGAGAAGCUUGCUUUUCUGACGUUAGCGGCGGACGGGUGAGUAACACGUGGAUAACCUACCUAUAAGACUGGGAUAACUUCGGGAAACCGGAGCUAAUACCGGAUAAUAUUUUGAACCGCAUGGUUCAAAAGUGAAAGACGGUCUUGCUGUCACUUAUAGAUGGAUCCGCGCUGCAUUAGCUAGUUGGUAAGGUAACGGCUUACCAAGGCAACGAUGCAUAGCCGACCUGAGAGGGUGAUCGGCGACACUGGAACUGAGACACGGUCCAGACUCCUACGGGAGGCAGCAGUAGGGAAUCUGCCGCAAUGGGCGAAAGCCUGACGGAGCAACGCCGCGUGAGUGAUGAAGGUCUUCGGAUCGUAAAACUCUGUUAUUAGGGAAGAACAUAUGUGUAAGUAACUGUGCACAUCUUGACGGUACCUAAUCAGAAAGCCACGGCUAACUACGUG
Molecule: ribosomal RNA, 497 nt
Filed under: uncultured bacterium
Lineage: Bacteria
Description: partial 16S ribosomal RNA
Rfam family: Bacterial small subunit ribosomal RNA
Source: RNAcentral